Aegilops tauschii subsp. strangulata is the source of this 1831-nucleotide non-coding RNA. The record is from RefSeq and is a predicted model, not a curated record. Lineage: Eukaryota; Viridiplantae; Streptophyta; Magnoliopsida; Poales; Poaceae.
CUUCUCACCCCACGAAGCCCGGCCCACAGCCCCGCACUCCUCCCUCAUCCGCAUCUCUCUCCCGCACUCCUCCCUCGUCCCAUCUCGCCGCCGCCACCAAUAGCGCCCAAUCCCAGCGAACUCCGGCGGGAAUCGACGGCACCCAUCACACCAACGUGACCCCGACGCUUCGCUCUUCCAUCCUGUCCGGUGAGAUUCGGCGCACGCAUCCUCCAGCGGCCAAGCGCGGCCGUCUCCCGUCAUUAGGGUUUCGUUCGUCGAUGGAUCCAGCGCUGGCCGGCGACGAGGGCCGCCAGAUCCGCGACCUGGGAGGCUCCUCCUGUAGGAUAUGGGAGGCUCCUCCUGUAGGAUACGGGAGCAGCGCACCGGACCCUGCAGUCGCCGGUUCGGGACGAGCACAGCGGCUCGAGGACGCCGGCGACAAACGCCGGCGCUCCUCUGCUCCAUCCACCUGGACGGCUGCUACUCCGCCAAAGACGUCACCUACAGCUGUGGAUACUGUGGCUACACAUUGAACUUGAGCUCCUCAACACGGAACACGGCCAACGUUGGGUCCAAGUACGGGAAGUAGAUCAGGAAAGCAGGUGCUCUGCUCUUGCGCAUGUAUGGUGGCGUCUCCGGCGUAGCGAUGCUUCUUGAGGUGACUGGCGUGACGGCGGCUGUGUAUGGCAGUGACCACAAGCUCUUCGGAUGAUGGUCUUGCGGCACAUGGCGCCGGAGCUGAGCCUGGGCAUGAGGAGCGAUCGCUACGUGCGGGUCCUCGACCUGCUUGGCCUCAACCUGCAGACCUUCGCCAAGGUUCACCUCAAGUCCCACACUAUGGAUGAAAUUAGGGAGGUAAUAUUUGUUCAUGACCCAUCUUCCUGCUGAACAGUAGAUGAUCUUACUAAGCACCUAGCCAUCUUGCCUGGUAUGCUUGUAUCUGCUACAUGUUGUUUUCAUCUUGAUAGCUAGCAGCCUAGCAUCAUGAACUUUGAUUGUGAAAUCUCUAUAUGCUGUAAAAUUAAUUGUGCCAGUCUCGAAAUUGUUGUGAAUUGUAAGAUGCUUCGAGUAAAUGUUUUUUUUGCCUUCUCGCGUGUAGGCGGUCAGGCGAGACAGCAAGCAGCUCUGUUUCUUGUUAUCUGCUCUGCUUUCAACUGAACUCGUUUCAGUUAGCAAGUCGAUACUGCAGAAUUUGAGACUGGAUACUGAAUUUGAGAGUAUGGGUGCUUGUAAUGAGGUUACUGCAAUAAUGUAUCCAGAGUAGAAUUGUAUUGUACCUGCUAUUUAUAGAUUAAUUGUUCAUGUAUGCUUCAUUUGAAAAUAAACAUGUUGUCACAUGUUCAAACAGUAUUGGGAGUUCUGGGACUAUUAUAUGGUGUUAUGGAUAUACUUUGUGAUUCGAGUUACUGAUAUGUGGUCUAGUCUCAGUGGGAAAGAUGCAACUAUUGUGAUCUAAUACUUCUUGUUUUGACUCCUCCAAUGGCAGGUGUAACUGUUACGAGCAAAGAACCUGUGAGCAGAGCUGAAGUAUAUAAUUCUUUUGUGUCGCUGUUUCGUGUGUCAAGUCGAAUGCUACUCUUAUUAUUAUUAUAGAGUGUCCUGAUGCAAGUUUCUGAAUUAUGCCUCUUGAACUUGCGAGUUGGGAUAUCUUGCAAACGUUUUAACUUUUAAACUCGAAACUGUUCCCUUUUUUUGUUUGAUUCAAGCUUACUCUCGUUAUAAUGUAUUGUGUAGUUGUUGUUUCAAACUGUUUUGCUACAAGUACCAUAAUUUGCAUUGAAGAUAUUGUAUUCUGUUGUUGUAUCAUUGUUUAAUAAAACCACAACAUGAUGCUCACAUGAGACAUCCA